Alexandromys fortis (reed vole) is the source of this 1480-nucleotide long non-coding RNA. RefSeq lists it as uncharacterized. Lineage: Eukaryota; Metazoa; Chordata; Mammalia; Rodentia; Cricetidae. The record is from RefSeq and is a predicted model, not a curated record. The transcript has 8 exons.
UAGCUCUUGUAGACCAAGCUGGCCUCGAAUUCCCAGAGAUCCGCCUGCCUCUGCCUCCCGAGUGCUGGGAUUAAAGGGGUGCGUCACCACCGCCUGGCCUUGAACAUCGGACUUUCAAAACAGAAGGGCUCUUCAUUUAUGAAUUCAACUUCAUGACUUUGCUAUUAUUUUGGCACUCAGUGUACGCAGUUUCAGAAAUGUGAACUGUGCACACGCAUGAGACGCACAGAUGUAGCCAUGAAGCCAGCCAAGAGUCCAAAGGGCCUGCCCUGGGGAACAGUGUCUGGGAGGAGAGAAAAGGUCCAGUUAUUCCAGGGUCCCAAAGAGGCGCUAUCUGAAAAAGACACGGGCGGGAGAGGGAAAGAAGACCAAGCAAGUCAAACAGGAUUCUGUUCUCAAUUUGUCAAGGAACACGGGGAAGAGGCACAAGAAGGGGCCAAAAUUCAGUAAGUAUGAUCCCAAAGACACUCCGCAGAACAGUGAAUGCAUUCUUGAUCCAAAGCUAGGUUUAGAAGCAGCACUACGUUCUGGCGCCCACAAUUCGUGGUGAUGAAGCUGGUAGACCAAGGAAGAGGUCGACAGCUGUCAGAGGAGGAUCUGCCAGACCUGAACAGUCAGCCCCACCCCGCGAGCUGAGGGUGGAAGGCUGAGCAGCCUGAACAUCCUGGUCUCCAUGUGCACACAUCCAGAGUUGCCGAGAGCGCUGCCCAGGCCGCAGUUCCUGAGGCCUGGAUGUCCCAGAGGCGAAGUCAGCAGCGCUUCAUGAAGGUGGGAACGGAGGAUGCCUACUGCUGAGGAAACUUCACCAGGCCGUCUACUGUCAGCAAGAGAAUAGAAGAGUUGCAAGGCUGGAGGAAGUUGGUGAUGGAAGAGAGAAAGCAGUGCGUUUGCCUGCAGGGAUCCUGCGCAGGGAUAGUCCCAGACAAUUGCUUGCCGCCUCCCUCUCUGGCCUGCACCUCUCAAGUUCUCUCAGCCCCAAGGCCCUUUCUCAGAACAGCAUGCACUGAUAUAGGACAUCCAGACCCACAGGCAAAUGGUCCUCGUGUCUGAGUUAACUGCAAUGAGAAGAAAUGAAGAGGCCAAGCUGCCUGUCAAUUCUCAGACCCACGCUGCACCUGAAUACUUUCAACAAGUCACUUCAGAAGUAUCCUGCCCAACAGGUCACAGGCACAGAAGGAGGCCAAGACCAGAACAUUCCUCCACAGCAAUUACAAGCAAACCCUGGAACCGUGUGGGAAGACUGCUCUACGGGUGGCAGAACAAGAGCAAGAGCACAGGGUGGCCUGACACCCAGGAAGCAGAGCUGUCCAACCUUUCCAUGGGGCCGGAGAGGUGGCUGACUAGGUAAUUUUCCGAGUGAGGGGCACCUGUUUGGAGCUGGGACGACGGCUCAGUGGUGAAGAGGAUGUACUUACUGUUCUUGCAGAAGUCCUGAGCUGGGCUUCCAACCAUCUGCAACACCGUCUCUAAGACAUCCAGC